UGCAUUAAUUUUUAUUUUCUUGCUUUACAGUGUGCAUUCCUCUUACAAGAAGCACCUCACGAAAGAAGAAGUGAAAAGCAAAUAUUUAUCUAAAGAAAGGGCUGCAAAGUGAUGGAGAGAUUUGAGAGACUGAUCAGUUUUCCUGAAUCAGAGCUCACUCUCCAAGCAGCUGCAACAGAUGUUUCUGGAUUAUACUGAGCAGCCAGAGCAUGAAAAAAAAUCCUGUGUAGGAACAGAAACAGGAGAAAAUGAUGGUACUUGACUCCAGGAAAAUAAACCCAGAACUUGACAGAUUCAGGUGUGAGCUCUGAAAUAUUCUAUAAUCCCUUACGAACGGUGCAAAAGAUUCACAAAUUCCAACUACUGCAUAAAGUGGCAAAAAUUAACAUCUUCAAGACUGUCACUGAGAUGGGUAGACAUCUCCCCCUCCCCAGCCCCAGCAGGCUGGGC
Long non-coding RNA from Manacus vitellinus (golden-collared manakin), 450 nucleotides. RefSeq lists it as uncharacterized. NCBI's taxonomy places the organism in Eukaryota, Metazoa, Chordata, Aves, Passeriformes, Pipridae. The transcript has 3 exons. The record is from RefSeq and is a predicted model, not a curated record.